ACACUCCUACGGGAGGCAGCAGUGAGGAAUAUUGGACAAUGGGUGGAAGCCUGAUCCAGCCAUCCCGCGUGCAGGAAGACGGCCCUAUGGGUUGUAAACUGCUUUUAUCUGGGGAUAAACCUACUUACGUGUAAGUAGCUGAAGGUACCAGAAGAAUAAGCACCGGCUAACUCCGUGCCAGCAGCCGCGGUAAUACGGAGGGUGCAAGCGUUAUCCGGAUUUAUUGGGUUUAAAGGGUCCGUAGGCGGACUGAUAAGUCAGUGGUGAAAUCCGACAGCUUAACUGUCGAACUGCCAUUGAUACUGUUAGUCUUGAGUAAGGUUGAAGUGGCUGGAAUAAGUAGUGUAGCGGUGAAAUGCAUAGAUAUUACUUAGAACACCAAUUGCGAAGGCAGGUCACUAAGUCUUAACUGACGCUGAUGGACGAAAGCGUGGGGAGAGAACAGGAUUAGAUACCCCAGUAGUCCCAUG
Molecule: ribosomal RNA, 470 nt
Filed under: uncultured organism
Description: partial 16S ribosomal RNA
Rfam family: Bacterial small subunit ribosomal RNA
Source: RNAcentral